AUUGAACGCUGGCGGAAUGCUUUACACAUGCAAGUCGAACGGCAGCACGGACUUCGGUCUGGUGGCGAGUGGCGAACGGGUGAGUAAUGUAUCGGAACGUGCCCAGUCGUGGGGGAUAACGUAGUGAAAAUUACGCUAAUACCGCAUACGAUCUAUGGAUGAAAGCGGGGGAUCGGAAGACCUCGCGCGAUUGGAGCGGCCGAUAUCAGAGUAGGUAGUUGGUGUGGUAAAGGCCCACCAAGCCAACGAUCUGUAGCUGGUCUGAGAGGACGGCCAGCCACACUGGAACUGAGACACGGUCCAGACUCCUACGGGAGGCAGCAGUGGGGUAUUUUGGACAAUGGGCGAAAGCCUGAUCCAGCCAUUCCGCGUGCAGGAUGAAGGCCCUCGGGUUGUAAACUGCUUUUGUACAGAACGAAAAGGUUUCUACUAAUACUAGGAGCUCAUGACGGUACUGUAAGAAUAAUCACCGGCUAACUACGUGCCAGCCGCCGCGGUAA
RNAcentral lists this ribosomal RNA (500 nucleotides) under uncultured bacterium. RNAcentral's name for it is "partial 16S ribosomal RNA". It matches the Rfam family "Bacterial small subunit ribosomal RNA", at positions 30 to 523 of the family's 1533-position model. The record is from RNAcentral.